AGAGUUUGAUCCUGGCUCAGGAUGAACGCUAGCUACAGGCUUAACACAUGCAAGUCGAGGGGAAACGAUAUUGGAAGCUUGCUUCCGAUAGGCGUCGACCGGCGCACGGGUGAGUAACGCGUAUCCAACCUGCCCAUCACUUGGGAAUAACCUUGCGAAAGUAAGACUAAUGCCCAAUGACAUUUAUAGAAGGCAUCGGAAAUGAAUUAAAGAUUUAUUGGUGAUGGAUGGGGAUGCGUCUGAUUAGCUUGUUGGCGGGGUAACGGCCCACCAAGGCGACGAUCAGUAGGGGUUCUGAGAGGAAGGUCCCCCACAUUGGAACUGAGACACGGUCCAAACUCCUACGGGAGGCAGCAGUGAGGAAUAUUGGUCAAUGGGCGAGAGCCUGAACCAGCCAAGUAGCGUGCAGGAUGACGGCCCUAUGGGUUGUAAACUGCUUUUAUAGGGGAAUAAAGUGAGCCACGUGUGGUUUUUUGCAUGUACCCUAUGAAUAAGGACCGGCUAAUUCCGUGCCAGCAGCCGCGGUAAUACGGAAGGUCCGGGCGUUAUCCGGAUUUAUUGGGUUUAAAGGGAGCGUAGGCCGGAGAUUAAGCGUGUUGUGAAAUGUAGAUGCUCAACAUCUGCACUGCAGCGCGAACUGGUUUCCUUGAGUACGCAUAAAGUGGGCGGAAUUCGUGGUGUAGCGGUGAAAUGCUUAGAUAUCACGAAGAACUCCGAUUGCGAAGGCAGCUCACUGGGGCGCAACUGACGCUGAAGCUCGAAAGCGCGGGUAUCGAACAGGAUUAGAUACCCUGGUAGUCCGCGCGGUAAACGAUGGAUGCCCGCUGUUGGGCCAACUGGUUCAGCGGCCAAGCGAAAGCAUUAAGCAUCCCACCUGGGGAGUACGCCGGCAACGGUGAAACUCAAAGGAAUUGACGGGGGCCCGCACAAGCAGUGGAUUAUGUGGUUUAAUUCGAAGCAACGCGAAGAACCUUACCGGGUCUUGACAUCCAACUAACGAGAUAGAGAUAUGUCAGGUGCCCUUCGGGGAAAGUUGAGACAGGUGGUGCAUGGUUGUCGUCAGCUCGUGUCGUGAGAUGUUGGGUUAAGUCCCGCAACGAGCGCAACCCCUGCCAUUAGUUGCUACGCAAGAGCACUCUAAUGGGACCGCUACCGACAAGGUGGAGGAAGGUGGGGACGACGUCAAAUCAUCAUGCCCCUUAUGACCUGGGCUACACACGUAAUACAAUGGCCGUUAGCAGAGGGAAGCAAAACCGCGAGGCAGAGCAAAACCCUAAAAACGGUCCCAGUUCGGAUCGCAGGCUGCAACCCGCCUGCGUGAAGUUGGAAUUGCUAGUAAUCGCGGAUCAGCAUGCCGCGGUGAAUACGUUCCCGGGCCUUGUACACACCGCCCGUCACACCAUGGGAGUUUGUAACACCCGAAGUCAGUAGCCUAACCGCAAGGAGGGCGCUGCCGAAGGUGGGAUAAGCGACUGGGGUGAAGUCGUAACAAGGUA
Molecule: ribosomal RNA, 1496 nt
Filed under: metagenome
Description: bacterial SSU rRNA
Rfam family: Bacterial small subunit ribosomal RNA
Source: RNAcentral